RNAcentral lists this transfer RNA (108 nucleotides) under Rhizoctonia solani 123E. It matches the Rfam family "tRNA". From Rfam's summary of the family: Transfer RNA (tRNA) molecules are approximately 80 nucleotides in length. Their secondary structure includes four short double-helical elements and three loops (D, anti-codon, and T loops). The record is from Rfam by way of RNAcentral. Lineage: Eukaryota; Fungi; Basidiomycota; Agaricomycetes; Cantharellales; Ceratobasidiaceae.
GCCCUUAUAGCACAGUGGUAGUGCGUUGCACUUGUAAGCUAUUACGUAAGAUUGCUUACGUAAUAAUUUGUCAUGCAAAGGUCCAUCGUUCAAUCCGGUGUGAGGGCA